This 254-nucleotide ribosomal RNA is filed under the name uncultured bacterium. RNAcentral's name for it is "partial 16S ribosomal RNA". It matches the Rfam family "Bacterial small subunit ribosomal RNA", at positions 524 to 776 of the family's 1533-position model. The record is from RNAcentral.
UACGUAGGGGGGCAAGCGUUGUCCGGAUUUACUGGGCGUAAAGAGCGUGUAGGCGGCCACGCAGGUCCGUUGUGAAAACUGGAGGCUCAACUUCCAGCCGUCGACGGAAACCGUGUGGCUAGAGUCCGGAAGAGGAGAGUGGAAUUCCUGGUGUAGCGGUGAAAUGCGCAGAUAUCAGGAAGAACACCAAUGGCGAAGGCAGCUCUCUGGGAACGGUACUGACGCUAGGAGCGAAAGCGUGGGGAGCGAACAGG